UGUGCCGGCGCGGGGGGACGGGUCCUGCCCCUCCCCGGGCGGCCAUCGCCAUCCCAGCCCGUCCCCUUGGGAUGAGGGAGAUGGGGUGUUUGGGGUGGGGAAGGGAGCGCUGAGGGGAGACCUCGUUCGUGUAUAAAAACAUCUGAGGGGGGGGUGUCAAAAGGAUGGGGUCCGUCUCACUUCAGUUGUGCCCAGCCACAGGACGAGAGGCAGCGGGCACAAACAGGAGCACAGUUGGUUCUGG
This is a long non-coding RNA of Cygnus olor (mute swan), 244 nucleotides long. RefSeq lists it as uncharacterized. NCBI's taxonomy places the organism in Eukaryota, Metazoa, Chordata, Aves, Anseriformes, Anatidae. The record is from RefSeq and is a predicted model, not a curated record. The transcript is spliced from 3 exons.